GACGAACGCUGGCGGCGUGCCUAAUACAUGCAAGUCGAACGAACGGAUUGAGGAGCUUGCUCUUCAUGAAGUUAGUGGCGGACGGGUGAGUAACACUUAGGAAUCUACCUAGUAGUGGGGGAUAGCUCGGGGAAACUCGAAUUAAUACCGCAUACGACCUACGGGAGAAAGGGGCGAGUUUACUGCUCUCGCUAUUAGAUGAGCCUAAGUCGGAUUAGCUAGAUGGUGGGGUAAAGGCCUACCAUGGCGACGAUCUGUAGCUGGUCUGAGAGGAUGAUCAGCCACACCGGGACUGAGACACGGCCCGG
Molecule: ribosomal RNA, 308 nt
Filed under: uncultured bacterium
Lineage: Bacteria
Description: bacterial SSU rRNA
Rfam family: Bacterial small subunit ribosomal RNA
Source: RNAcentral